CCUGGCAGCCAUAGCGAUACGGUACCACCUGAUCCCAUUCCGAACUCAGAAGUGAAACGUAUUAGCGCCGAUGGUAGUGUGGGGUUUCCCCAUGUGA
This 97-nucleotide ribosomal RNA is filed under the name Alteromonas sp. The record is from RNAcentral. Lineage: Bacteria; Pseudomonadati; Pseudomonadota; Gammaproteobacteria; Alteromonadales; Alteromonadaceae.